UUACUCUGGUUUUCCUUCAAUACACGCUUAAAUCUUUCGCCUUUUACUAAAGAUUUCCGUGGAAGAGAACAAUUGAUGAGUCUAUACUCAAUUUUUUGUGUGCCUGGCGUAAGCCGGGUC
RNAcentral lists this small nuclear RNA (120 nucleotides) under Aphidius gifuensis. Its description in RNAcentral is "U5 spliceosomal RNA". It matches the Rfam family "U5 spliceosomal RNA". Rfam says of the family: U5 RNA is a component of both types of known spliceosome. The precise function of this molecule is unknown, though it is known that the 5' loop is required for splice site selection and p220 binding, and that both the 3' stem-loop and the Sm site are important for Sm protein binding and cap methylation. Lineage: Eukaryota; Metazoa; Arthropoda; Insecta; Hymenoptera; Braconidae. The record is from Rfam by way of RNAcentral.